Molecule: long non-coding RNA, 3124 nt
Organism: Pseudopipra pipra
Lineage: Eukaryota; Metazoa; Chordata; Aves; Passeriformes; Pipridae
Exons: 5
Source: RefSeq, a predicted model, not a curated record
ACAUAAGCAAAGGUAGGGGAAACUGCUGUGAUAGUGGGAAGAAGCUGGUAGCUGCUACCAGGAAGAAAAACAGAUGCAAAGACAGAAAAACAUGAUCUACGCUGGAACUGGCAGCAAGAGAAGUAAUUUUGUUGGAACCGUGACUGAGAACUGAAACAUUAUAGACCCAUAAGAACCUCUGAUAGCAGUACGUGAUUUCAUAGUAACCUGCAGAAGGUAACUGGAUAACACUUUGGACUGGACAAUAACAAUUUCUAGCCUGAACAGCUUACCCAUGCUAAUGAAGAUGGAAAUGGGCUUUCACAUCUAACUCUUACAGGGUUUUCCUGUGUCUUGGCUAAAAUGGAUUUUCAUUUUAUCACCGAUGGCAAGAACUUACUCAGGUCUUAACUAGGAUGGAAUAAACCUACCUAAUCCAGGUGGAAGAAGGGAGAGAGGAAAGGAGAGCUGGGUAUUGUUGCUGUCUGCUUCCCUGUGCACAGCACAUAUUUCUGCAUGGAUUUCCAGCAGCAGUCAUUGAUGAUCGCAUCAGCAGUAACGUCCCUUGAUGCUUGCAAUCCUUCUUAAGGAGUCCAGGGAAUGUAGCACUGCAUGGGAAUGGGGCUGAAAGCAGCAGCAGAUACUGGUGACAGCUAGCAAGAUUCUUUCACUGAAAAGACCAGGACAGAGCUGCAGAGAAGUUAAUCAGUCUUCACGAAUGACAGAGGGAGAUCAGGGAACUUUCCUGCCGACCAGUUUCUCUUCUCUUGGAAGUAUCUGCCGGAAUUGUUUGCAUCCCACUUCCUCCCCUCGUGCCACCUCCCACGUCCCAAAUGAACUUCAUUUCUUGAAAGGUGGCAUUUGCAGCAGAGCUUGGUGCUUUUUUCAGGUCUUCUAAGACACACGCAUUUGAAAAGGAAUUCAGUCCAGCAGGAGCGGGAGGAGCCCAGCCGCCCGGGGACAUCGCUGUCAACUGCAUCUCCAUGGUGCCACCUUCCGACAGGCUGCAGGCAGCCGUGGGACAGCCGGCUCCAGGAGUAUCCCUGCAAGGAAAGAGAAGCUUACGCCGUGGGAGAGCACAUCUGCCUAGACUGCAGAGAUGUGGGAGUGAGAGUCAGAAAGGAAAAACCUUAGAAACACGAUUUGGCGUGUCUUUUGUGUUCCGUGCUGUAUGCAGGACAAACUGGGGCUCCUUCAGCCUGUUGGGUGCUAAGACUCAAGCACUGUGCAAAUGCUGAUUGUCAGGUUUAUGUCAUGUUGAAUUAUCGGAAAUGAAAGAAUUGCCUGGAAAGAGAAUAUUUUAAAAUAUUUUAAAAUUUGUUCUCCGGGAAAAAACCCCACACACCAAAACCCCUCUGUUUGUAUCAGUUCCAGGUUAAUUUACAAUAUGGUGACAGCAGAACUAAUAGACUAAAAUAUUACUUAUAUUCAUAUUUUCAAUGGAUGGAGAAAUGGUGGAGUUGAUAUUGAAGACUUUCCCAGUCGCUUGCCACAGCUCCCGAGCAGCUUAUAUAGAGAUGAGAGCAAAAACGCGGCACUGUCAACAGCGUGAAAUGUAUGUCUUGCACUCUUGACUUAAUUUCUUUAUCCCUUUUUUAAAAAAAAAUUUAUUUCCCUCUAUUUAACCUUAUACAGAAGUCCACGGGAGACUGUAGACUUAGGAUGAAUGUUACAUGCUGACUCACAUCCUUCUUUGGUAAUUGAGUCCUAUGAAGGGAAAUGCCACAAAUACCUACUUGACACAGGUGUUGAAAACUAGGAGAAUAUAUUGGGUUUUUUAUACAUUGAAGUACUCCUAUAUGUACCCGACUAAAGGGGUCUCAGAAACAGGUCCCUGUUCAUUAAUGGGCUGUCUUGCUUAUUGUUCACUCAAAUCUUAGAAGCAAGUAUGGUGAAGAUGCACAAGGAAAAUACAACCCAUCUCAGUCUACCUUGAUCUCUAAUACUCUUCAAAACAUUAGAGUUACUGGAGUAACUUUAGGGAAAAGAUUAGAUUAUUAGACCUCUAAUACUUCUAAAUGUUCUGCUGAGAAGUUUAAAAAUUAUUUUAAGUGUAAAAAUCAACAGAUAUGUCUAUAAGACGGUGUGGGGGGAAAGAAUGCGAUGGAGGAGUUACUCUUUUGAGAAAGUGUUCCUCUUCAUAGUAGGGCUCUCUUAACUCUUCUGAAAUUAAUUAAAAAAAAUUUGAAUUACAAAACCAAAUGAAUUAAAGAAAAAUUCCUGUCAUUGUAUGCUUUAAAAGAUAAUUUUUCUCUGACCUUUCUCUUGUAAGGGUUAGUUGCAAAUGGUUUGCUAUGAGACAGUGACACCUGAUACUCUAGAUGUCAAUUGUUUUGUUUUGUUCUGACGUUUCAAAUAAUUGUGUAUUUUUGCCCAUUCUAAAGGCAUAAUGCUUACAAGGCAGAAGUCCUUAAGAAACUAUGGGGUUUGGACUCUCUGUCCAAAAAAAUAGUGCUGCAGGGAGAGUAGCCUAGCAGUAAGCAGCCUUGGCAAAUUCUAGAAAACUAAAACUAUUCAAGAGGCUUUUCUUUUUGUUCGUUUGCCUAGUUUUAAAAUGAUAUUCUCAGUGGAGAUAUCUGGAACACUGCCUAUUUGCAUCAACAUGAGGCAAAAAUUCUGUCAUAUUAUUUAAACAGAGUUGAAUCUGAUUGAACAGGAAAGGUACUCUUUGGUAUAUGACUUAAUCAAAUAUAUUUGUUUUUUGUGGCUAUGGCUAUACUGUCUUCCCCUCUUUAGAGAGCCUGUCUGUCCAAAGGGGCAGCUGCCAUUUUGGGAAUAUUGCAACACAUUAUUGUGGAGCAUAUAAAGAAGAUGUUUUCUAUUAUAUGGAACUCAUUUUUUGUGUUUUCUCCAGGUCAGUUGCUAUCCUUCCUCGCUACCAGAUCAAUAAAAAUAUAUGACCAUGGUGCAUAACAAAACAUUACAGCACAGGUUUGCUUACACAAGGUUUCUUUGUUGUCUUACAGACAAUCUGUGAGGAAAGAGAAAAUGCAGUAUUAUGAAGCUCUCUAGAGAUGAUUUUGCAGAUCCCAAAAAUACACUUUAUAUGAUGUGGGUUUCUUUCUUGAUGGGAGGGCCAGGGUCUUAUGCCAAAAUAUGUUUGUAGGCUUCUCUUAAAGAAUAAAUAAAGAAAUCAACCCAGAAA